GUCAAAGGUCACCUCAGAGGUCACAGAUCAUCAAAAAUAUUUCUUACACAGUGUUAUAUCAGCACACGACAAGAUAAUGAAUGAGAAAUACAGGAUAGAAAGUCAAACUGAAUGAUAUCUGUUGUAGAUGAAUAAACUCUUCAACUGUUUUUAAAGCAAUAAUAACAUUUAGUCCAAACUGAAUGUGUGAGUGUUGAGAAGAUGUGAGUUUCUUCUAAUAUCAGUGUGUUGAAGUGUUGUUUCUCUCUCUCUGCUGGAGUUUGUGUUCACUCGAGUGGAAUAGAGGUUUUUGUACGACCGUUUCAUUAGAUUGUAUCACUGUGGUGGACUUUCGGUGGAGGAACUAAACUGGCGCUCGCUGGUCCCACAGUGAAGCCCUCAGUGUCUCUGCUGCCGCCCUCUUCUCUACAGAUCUCUGGAGACUCAGCCGCACUGCUCUGCCUGCUCAGCUCUUACUCUCCACAGGGGGCGCUGGUGAGCUGGACACUGGACGGGUCAGAGGUCACCGAGGGGGUCGUGACCAGCGCGGAGAGCCAGCGGGACGGCCGCUACAGCCGCAGUAGCGUCCUGACCCUCAGCAAAGCACGCUGGGAAGAGGGAGAGGUGUACGUCUGCAGAGUAACACAUGAUGGAGCUCCUCAUGAGGUCUCGUUCCACAAGAGCUCUGAGUGCUGAUGUUUCUCUCCUGAAGAUGAGCCGUAUCUGAGUGUCCUGUGUCAGGCAGGAUUCACAUGAGUCUAGUGCUGCAGCUGUAGUGAUUUACAACUCAAUACUGAAAGAGAGCUGGCGUGUCAAAGCACUGUGUGAUCUUUCAAUCUGCUGUAACAUUCAAUAAAGCUUCUCAACAAGUUCA
Molecule: long non-coding RNA, 853 nt
Organism: Megalobrama amblycephala (Wuchang bream)
Lineage: Eukaryota; Metazoa; Chordata; Actinopteri; Cypriniformes; Xenocyprididae
Exons: 2
Source: RefSeq, a predicted model, not a curated record